Cannabis sativa is the source of this 1319-nucleotide RNA transcript. RefSeq lists it as uncharacterized. The transcript has 5 exons. The record is from RefSeq and is a predicted model, not a curated record. Lineage: Eukaryota; Viridiplantae; Streptophyta; Magnoliopsida; Rosales; Cannabaceae.
AAAAAAAGAAAUUGGAGACAAACGAAUAUAUAGGCUGCGGAGCGAACGACGAUAUUUGGGUGUGAUAACCAGAAAUUCUGAAACUAUAAGCAGAGAAGAGAAAGGCUGUUUUUGAAACAUGUAUCACCCUACUAGAGGCGGUGUUCGUGGCGGCCGUGAUCAAUUUACUUGGGAAGAUGUGAAAGUUGAUAAGCAUCGAGAGAACUAUAUUGGUCACAGUCUCAAGGCCCCUGUUGGAAGAUGGCAGAAAGGGAAGGACCUGCACUGGUAUGUGAGGGAUAAAAAUGCUCAGAGUGCAGACAUGGAAGCUGCGAAAGAAGAGAUCAAAAGGAUUAAGGAAGAGGAAGAACAGGCCAUGAGGGAGGCUCUUGGCUUAGCUCCUAAGCGUGCAAACCGCUCACAAGGGAAUCGGCUUGAUAAGCAUGAGUUUUCAGAGCUUGUGAAACGAGGUUCUACUGCUGAGGAUGUUGGUGAAGGGCAUGCUGAGGCAGCACAUGUUCAUGGCCUUGGUUUCUCAAGAGCGAAUCGUCCUCACGUGGAAUCAAGCUCUCACCCAUCGUCUGUUGAGAACAUUCCUGAAAUGCCAGCAGUCCCGGUGUUUAAUCCAACAAAAAACACUGAAGAACAGCAAUCAGACGAUGAAAGCAAUAGAAAGAAAAGGAGGCGCGAUGAAAGGAAACACGAGAAGCAUGAAAAACGUGAAAAGAGAGAAAAGCACGGAAAACAUGAAAAAUAUGAUAAGUAUGAAAAGCGUCAUUCCUCGGACGACAGGAGGAAGCACAGAAAGGAAAAGGAAAGAAGACAUGAUUCUGACUAAAGUAAUUGUAAAGUAAAGAAUAAAGCUUGUAUAUGCUUCAUAUAUGAGAUUUUUUAGGACCUUAUUGUUGUUCAAAAUUGUUAUGGUGGAAAUCUUCAUUGAAAUUCUGCUGUCUUUCUUGUGGGAUUAUUGUCGAAUCUGUAAAAGUCCCCUCUUAUUGAGGAGACAGGGUCAGUCGAUCUUCUUUCGGCAACAAAUGAUGGGACAAGGCCAGAUUUAUUGGAGAGAAAAACCUCAUGCUGCAAGAACGGCUUCAGCUUGCAGUGACAUUUUAACACUUGGGAUACUCUUGUAGGUAGCUUGCAGAUUGAAGUGUGACUGUGAGGGUGAGUGACUAGUCUCAUGUAAGAUCAUAUAUAGAGUAAAAACCUGUUAAAACGUCUGAGAGUACUUAAUACGAAAGAAGAACAUGAUUAGCUUAUUAUUUUUAAUUUUAUAAUAAACACUAUAUAAUAUAAUAGUUUUCUAUUAUAGUAUUGACAAAGACAACAUAUUGCUACUA